UUUAUAUAAGCCAGCAGCUUCUCUACCAAGAUCCAGAGGCCUCCUCAGAGAAGGGUCCUGUAUCAUGUGUAGUAAGCAUGAAUGUUCAGUGAACAAAACUAUACAAUGCAACUGCUUCACUAACUGUGGACAGAAAUCAAAUUGUGUUUAAAAGAAGGAACUAGCAGUACAUUGUGAAGAGUAAUGGAAGGAGUCAGUGCAAAAGAGCCUGUGCAUGUUACUUUCACUUUAUAGCCAUUAGGAAGAGUGACAAGAUAUGGCAGAGUUAAGGGUGUGAUGUUAAAAAGUAACUGUUUAUCAUGUGUCAUGUGAUUAGAGGCACCUGAAUCUAUAAUCCAGGUGACAGAGUUAAUAUUAGUAAGUAAGCAAAUUUAUCAUGUGUCAUGUGAUUAGAGGCACCUGAAUCUAUAAUCCAGGUGACAGAAUUAAUAUUGGUAAGUAAGCAGAGUUUGGAAUCAGAAAUAGAGCUCUCAGUUAACAUAGUACUAGCAAAGUUAGCAGCAUACAUAAGAGGAGGAGUCUAAGCAGUGGAGUCCCCUAACUGGGUCUGUUGUAAUAAAUUCAUCAACUGAUCAUACUGUUUUCUGCUCAACCCUGGUAUCACAGAACUCUGGCCAUCUAUUUUUAGAACAGAUUGAUGGCUUUCAAGAGGAUUCCCUUGGGGAACAGACAUAUGUCCUUCCGAAUGAGGGAAGUCCAGACCAGCACUAAGAUGAGCAGCAGCAGGUCUCCUCCCCUUGUUAAAAUUUGUACUUUGUNN
Molecule: long non-coding RNA, 760 nt
Filed under: Nicotiana benthamiana
Lineage: Eukaryota; Viridiplantae; Streptophyta; Magnoliopsida; Solanales; Solanaceae
Description: long non-coding RNA (NBEN_LNC015997)
Source: RNAcentral